This 375-nucleotide ribosomal RNA is filed under the name uncultured bacterium. RNAcentral describes it as "bacterial SSU rRNA". It matches the Rfam family "Bacterial small subunit ribosomal RNA", at positions 527 to 898 of the family's 1533-position model. The record is from RNAcentral.
GUAGGGGGCAAGCGUUGUCCGGAUUUAUUGGGCGUAAAGAGCUCGUAGGCGGCUAUUCACGUCGGAUGUGAAAGCUCAAGGCUCAACCUUGAGAGGCCAUUCGAUACGGGAUAGCUAGAGGUAGGUAGGGGAGAUCGGAAUUCCUGGUGUAGCGGUGAAAUGCGCAGAUAUCAGGAGGAACACCGAUGGCGAAGGCAGAUCUCUGGGCCUUACCUGACGCUGAGGAGCGAAAGCUGGGGGAGCGAACAGGAUUAGAUACCCUGGUAGUCCCAGCCGUAAACGUUGAGUGCUAGGUGUGGGGCGGUCUUCAACCCGCUCUGUGCCGCAGCUAACGCAUUAAGCACUCCGCCUGGGGAGUACGGUCGCAAGACUAAA